UACGUAGGGUGCGAGCGUUGUCCGGAAUUAUUGGGCGUAAAGAGCUCGUAGGCGGUGUGUCACGUCGGCCGUGAAAACCUGCAGCUUAACUGUGGGCGUGCGGUCGAUACGGGCAUCACUGGAGUUCGGCAGGGGAGACUGGAAUUCCUGGUGUAGCGGUGAAAUGCGCAGAUAUCAGGAGGAACACCGGUGGCGAAGGCGGGUCUCUGGGCCGAUACUGACGCUGAGGAUCGAAAGCGUGGGGAGCGAACAGG
This 254-nucleotide ribosomal RNA is filed under the name uncultured bacterium. Its description in RNAcentral is "partial 16S ribosomal RNA". It matches the Rfam family "Bacterial small subunit ribosomal RNA", at positions 524 to 776 of the family's 1533-position model. The record is from RNAcentral.